UUAAGCGACUAAGCGUACACGGUGGAUGCCCUGGCAGUCAGAGGCGAUGAAGGACGUGCUAAUCUGCGAUAAGCGUCGGUAAGGUGAUAUGAACCGUUAUAACCGGCGAUUUCCGAAUGGGGAAACCCAGUGUGUUUCGACACACUAUCAUUAACUGAAUCCAUAGGUUAAUGAGGCGAACCGGGGGAACUGAAACAUCUAAGUACCCCGAGGAAAAGAAAUCAACCGAGAUUCCCCCAGUAGCGGCGAGCGAACGGGGAGGAGCCCAGAGCCUGAAUCAGUGUGUGUGUUAGUGGAAGCGUCUGGAAAGGCGCGCGAUACAGGGUGACAGCCCCGUACACAAAAAUGCACAUAUUGUGAGCUCGAUGAGUAGGGCGGGACACGUGGUAUCCUGUCUGAAUAUGGGGGGACCAUCCUCCAAGGCUAAAUACUCCUGACUGACCGAUAGUGAACCAGUACCGUGAGGGAAAGGCGAAAAGAACCCCGGCGAGGGGAGUGAAAAAGAACCUGAAACCGUGUACGUACAAGCAGUGGGAGCCUCUUUAUGGGGUGACUGCGUACCUUUUGUAUAAUGGGUCAGCGACUUAUAUUCUGUAGCAAGGUUAACCGAAUAGGGGAGCCGAAGGGAAACCGAGUCUUAACUGGGCGUUAAGUUGCAGGGUAUAGACCCGAAACCCGGUGAUCUAGCCAUGGGCAGGUUGAAGGUUGGGUAACACUAACUGGAGGACCGAACCGACUAAUGUUGAAAAAUUAGCGGAUGACUUGUGGCUGGGGGUGAAAGGCCAAUCAAACCGGGAGAUAGCUGGUUCUCCCCGAAAGCUAUUUAGGUAGCGCCUCGUGAAUUCAUCUCCGGGGGUAGAGCACUGUUUCGGCAAGGGGGUCAUCCCGACUUACCAACCCGAUGCAAACUGCGAAUACCGGAGAAUGUUAUCACGGGAGACACACGGCGGGUGCUAACGUCCGUCGUGAAGAGGGAAACAACCCAGACCGCCAGCUAAGGUCCCAAAGUCAUGGUUAAGUGGGAAACGAUGUGGGAAGGCCCAGACAGCCAGGAUGUUGGCUUAGAAGCAGCCAUCAUUUAAAGAAAGCGUAAUAGCUCACUGGUCGAGUCGGCCUGCGCGGAAGAUGUAACGGGGCUAAACCAUGCACCGAAGCUGCGGCAGCGACACUGUGUGUUGUUGGGUAGGGGAGCGUUCUGUAAGCCUGCGAAGGUGUGCUGUGAGGCAUGCUGGAGGUAUCAGAAGUGCGAAUGCUGACAUAAGUAACGAUAAAGCGGGUGAAAAGCCCGCUCGCCGGAAGACCAAGGGUUCCUGUCCAACGUUAAUCGGGGCAGGGUGAGUCGACCCCUAAGGCGAGGCCGAAAGGCGUAGUCGAUGGGAAACAGGUUAAUAUUCCUGUACUUGGUGUUACUGCGAAGGGGGGACGGAGAAGGCUAUGUUGGCCGGGCGACGGUUGUCCCGGUUUAAGCGUGUAGGCUGGUUUUCCAGGCAAAUCCGGAAAAUCAAGGCUGAGGCGUGAUGACGAGGCACUACGGUGCUGAAGCAACAAAUGCCCUGCUUCCAGGAAAAGCCUCUAAGCAUCAGGUAACAUCAAAUCGUACCCCAAACCGACACAGGUGGUCAGGUAGAGAAUACCAAGGCGCUUGAGAGAACUCGGGUGAAGGAACUAGGCAAAAUGGUGCCGUAACUUCGGGAGAAGGCACGCUGAUAUGUAGGUGAAGCGACUUGCUCGUGGAGCUGAAAUCAGUCGAAGAUACCAGCUGGCUGCAACUGUUUAUUAAAACACAGCACUGUGCAAACACGAAAGUGGACGUAUACGGUGUGACGCCUGCCCGGUGCCGGAAGGUUAAUUGAUGGGGUCAGCGCAAGCGAAGCUCUUGAUCGAAGCCCCGGUAAACGGCGGCCGUAACUAUAACGGUCCUAAGGUAGCGAAAUUCCUUGUCGGGUAAGUUCCGACCUGCACGAAUGGCGUAAUGAUGGCCAGGCUGUCUCCACCCGAGACUCAGUGAAAUUGAACUCGCUGUGAAGAUGCAGUGUACCCGCGGCAAGACGGAAAGACCCCGUGAACCUUUACUAUAGCUUGACACUGAACAUUGAGCCUUGAUGUGUAGGAUAGGUGGGAGGCUUGGAAGUGUGGACGCCAGUCUGCAUGGAGCCGACCUUGAAAUACCACCCUUUAAUGUUUGAUGUUCUAACGUUGACCCGUAAUCCGGGUUGCGGACAGUGUCUGGUGGGUAGUUUGACUGGGGCGGUCUCCUCCUAAAGAGUAACGGAGGAGCACGAAGGUUGGCUAAUCCUGGUCGGACAUCAGGAGGUUAGUGCAAUGGCAUAAGCCAGCUUGACUGCGAGCGUGACGGCGCGAGCAGGUGCGAAAGCAGGUCAUAGUGAUCCGGUGGUUCUGAAUGGAAGGGCCAUCGCUCAACGGAUAAAAGGUACUCCGGGGAUAACAGGCUGAUACCGCCCAAGAGUUCAUAUCGACGGCGGUGUUUGGCACCUCGAUGUCGGCUCAUCACAUCCUGGGGCUGAAGUAGGUCCCAAGGGUAUGGCUGUUCGCCAUUUAAAGUGGUACGCGAGCUGGGUUUAGAACGUCGUGAGACAGUUCGGUCCCUAUCUGCCGUGGGCGCUGGAGAACUGAGGGGGGCUGCUCCUAGUACGAGAGGACCGGAGUGGACGCAUCACUGGUGUUCGGGUUGUCAUGCCAAUGGCACUGCCCGGUAGCUAAAUGCGGAAGAGAUAAGUGCUGAAAGCAUCUAAGCACGAAACUUGCCCCGAGAUGAGUUCUCCCUGACCCUUUAAGGGUCCUGAAGGAACGUUGAAGACGACGACGUUGAUAGGCCGGGUGUGUAAGCGCAGCGAUGCGUUGAGCUAACCGGUACUAAUGAACCGUGAGGCUUAACCU
RNAcentral lists this ribosomal RNA (2898 nucleotides) under Escherichia coli. Its description in RNAcentral is "bacterial LSU rRNA". It matches the Rfam family "Bacterial large subunit ribosomal RNA". The record is from RNAcentral. Lineage: Bacteria; Pseudomonadati; Pseudomonadota; Gammaproteobacteria; Enterobacterales; Enterobacteriaceae.